UCUAUCACCACUCAUCGGAUACACGGAUCUCCAACACAUCACAAAUAGACUCAUGGAACCAAAUAUAUCCCAUAAGCAAAGCAUAUAUAGCUAACGCUCUCUAGCACACCACACAUACAUAUCUUAAUAAAUGGAGCUUGGCUCACAUUCUCUUAUCUCUCCAAAACUAUCUCUGAGCCUCAGUGCCCCACAUAUCACAACACAUAUAAGUGAGUACUCACAAUCCUAUGGCAUGUCAAAUAUAUCCAACGGUCUCAGUAAGUUAUAAGGCCAAAAUAUUCAUAAUGUCAUCAAAUAUUACUUACCGAUUAUUUGCACAUUCACCGCAUAAUCAA
Molecule: long non-coding RNA, 335 nt
Filed under: Gossypium barbadense (sea-island cotton)
Lineage: Eukaryota; Viridiplantae; Streptophyta; Magnoliopsida; Malvales; Malvaceae
Description: long non-coding RNA (GBAR_LNC018379)
Source: RNAcentral